AUCACGUUCUUGUUCUCCCUGACUCUCGUCUGGGAAAAGGCAAUGGUUCCUUCUGGCUCCUUUGCACAUCUAGUAUUUAUUUUACCCUCAGCUCGUAGAUUUCAGAUGUACUGGGCCUGAGCAUCUGCAAAGGCCUAGGAAACAGCCAGAAUUUCAUUGUAAGCUCAAGAAUCCUGUUUCUCUGACAGAGGAAAGGAACAACAACUUGACUGGACACAUCCUAACCCAACCAUACGCUGUGUUACUUCCUCCACUGCGCCACACACAGCUAUUAUUCUAAGCUCUCUUAUUCAAACCCUUAAGGAUUUGUAAGCUCCUGACCAACUGGAAGAGAGUUCCUACCACAGAAAGAAAGGCAGCCAAGAACACAAUGUCCCGACCUAGCUCUUGGAAGUACUAAAUUUCAUCACGGAAACCACAGCCUCAAGGACAGAGGACUUAUCCAGAGUCAUCAAAUCUAUCGCUUUUUCUGCUUUCUGUUUUCUCUGAAAGAGCCGUGAAUGAUGAGACGACAAAAUAUUGGAUUAUUUGUGCUCUUGAAACAGAUGCCACCUGAGUUGUGACAG
Molecule: long non-coding RNA, 566 nt
Organism: Homo sapiens (human)
Lineage: Eukaryota; Metazoa; Chordata; Mammalia; Primates; Hominidae
Source: Ensembl